AAAAACGCCUGGCGCAGCUUCUCGGCGUCCCCGAUAAAGGGGGGGAGCGGGGCCGGGUGCAAUUCCAGGGUGAUCUUGC
This 79-nucleotide transfer RNA is filed under the name Geomonas silvestris. RNAcentral's name for it is "tRNA-Phe". The record is from RNAcentral. Lineage: Bacteria; Pseudomonadati; Thermodesulfobacteriota; Desulfuromonadia; Geobacterales; Geobacteraceae.